This 497-nucleotide ribosomal RNA is filed under the name uncultured bacterium. RNAcentral describes it as "partial 16S ribosomal RNA". It matches the Rfam family "Bacterial small subunit ribosomal RNA", at positions 28 to 507 of the family's 1533-position model. The record is from RNAcentral.
GAUGAACGCUGGCGGCGUGCCUAAUACAUGCCAGUCGAGCGAACAGACGAGGAGCUUGCUCCUCUGACGUUAGCGGCGGACGGGUGAGUAACACGUGGAUAACCUACCUAUAAGACUGGGAUAACUUCGGGAAACCGGAGCUAAUACCGGAUAAUAUAUUGAACCGCAUGGUUCAAUAGUGAAAGACGGUUUUGCUGUCACUUAUAGAUGGAUCCGCGCCGCAUUAGCUAGUUGGUAAGGUAACGGCUUACCAAGGCAACGAUGCGUAGCCGACCUGAGAGGUGGGGCGGGCGACAGGGAUAUGAAAUACGCUACAGGGUCCGAAGGGAGGACGGAGCAUGGAAUCGUGAGCAAUGGGCGAAAGCCUGACGUAACAAAGUAGCGUGAGUGAAGAAAGUAUGUGGAGCUUAAAACGCUGGUAUUAGGGAAAAAUAAAAGGGAAACUAACUGUGAACAUCGGCAAGGAACCCAAACAGAAAGACACGCCCAACUACGAC